Long non-coding RNA from Triticum aestivum (bread wheat), 5670 nucleotides. RefSeq lists it as uncharacterized. The record is from RefSeq and is a predicted model, not a curated record. The transcript is spliced from 10 exons. Lineage: Eukaryota; Viridiplantae; Streptophyta; Magnoliopsida; Poales; Poaceae.
GCCAGACGCUCGCACCCGAAUCCUCGUGCCCGCGAUGCACUUGCCCACCGCCGCUCUCCUCUGCCCCAACCCCAACCCCGCCGCCGCCUCAAUCCCACCGCCGCCGGCCUCCUCCUCCUCUAGCGCCGCCGCUCCAGCCCCUCACCUUCUCAGCCUGGAUCCGCGCGACAAGGUGUGGGGCUAUGGGAGAGAAGGCUCCAUAUCGACAUCGCCGUCCGGAGCUACAUCAUCGACGGCCUCAAUGGGGGCUUUGGCGAGAGCUCCUGGUCUUUCGUCGCCGCCGCCGGGUCGGGACUGCCGAUCGGGACUCCGUCGGAUCCGCUGUCGCCGACCCACGUCCCAGUCCUCUCCUUCCUCUCACAGUUCAUGAGGCGACACCACAUGAGGAGGCUAGAACAGCAUGAGCAAUCUCAUCCGUGCCAGUCUGUGCGUCGCUUCUCACGCCAAGCCAAAGGUCAUCUUGCUGCCCUGUUGGCAGAUUCAUGUGUACAAUAUUAGUGUUCAUAUCAGUCUGACAGAUUCAUGUGUGUCUGUUCAGUAUUCAAAGUUAAGGAAUUCAAGUGAUACAUAUAUUGUUUGAAAUAUCAUUGCUAUUCCAUGAUCGGUUCCAUUCAUCCACCAUUUAAUGUUUUCAUUUUUCUAUUUUACAGUAGUUCCCUCUAUGGAACUGUACUAACAAGAUUAUAUUCAGUUAAUGUCCAGAUGCAAGUUCAUGAAUGCUGUUCAUUUUACUUGAGAAGAACUAAUUCACAUGGUGAAGAACAACUGCUGGAUUAUAAUUUUAUAAGCCUUUGUACAGAAUACAAGCAUACUCAUCGAUUAAUGUUAGAUAUGUAGUAUCAAGUGAAGUAGUAUAAAUUUGCAUCGCCACACCAGCCAACAGGAGCGGCAGCAAUAGCAGGGUGUCGCAGAUUGACCUGGAGGUUGUCCCGAGGGGCGCGACACUGCCAGUGGAGAUGUACAGGUGAAGGAGGAGGACGUGGGGACUAAGGUGGUUGUAUGGUAGAUGGCGGAGGUGGACAAGAUGAACAUUUGGUUCGACAGGGUGGUGGUUGUCGUCAACGGCUGGGAGACGAAGCAACAAGAUUGAGGUUCACUUUGGAAUUUGUCUCAUUGAAGGGAUCUUGAAUUCUACACCAUGUUACGACUGAUAUCCCUGGAAUUUGUGAUCACAAUGUUAGUGCUACCAUUGUCAUGCAGCUCAACCUGGGACCGAGCACAGAUGCCACUGCGUAUUGCUAAAAUUUACAGGAAAUGCAGAAAAAUAGAGGUACAGCAAUUGAGCAAUGCACAGUUCCCAAAAUGUGUGCCACAUAGUUCUAUGUUGAACAUAUAGAACUACUUAUGUUCCAUAUUCACCCUAAAACUUCUCUAAAGAUGUGCCAUUAACGACGGUGACGAGUUUGGAAUGGGGAGUGGAGAUAGCGGUGAAGAAGAUGAAGAAGAAGGGUGAUUUAUAACAUGAAACAAAAGUUGACAAUAUCAUUUAAUGUGCAUGAGGAUCUUAGAGAUAUACAUGUUGCACAUGAUUUGUUAUGCCCCGCUGCGGAUCUGGGCGCCCCCUCACCUUGACAAGAUUUUACCUACACUCAAUUGGAUAAUUAAGUACAGUUUGAUUAGUAUGACAAGUCAUGUCAGCAGGAUGAAUAUUUACAAGGUUUAUUAUCUCCCAGGAAGACAAGUAGGAAGUAUGUUUGCAAGUUUUCAUGACUAAAUUAUACAAUUAUAUAAACUGUGUGUUCUGCUUGAAGUUUGUCAGUUAAAAUCAUGUUGACUCGCCUACUGUUUAAAGGUUCUAUUUUGAUCAUAUAAUUAGGUUUACAUCUUGACUCGCUUGAUUUGAUAAAUUCCAUUCUUACCAAGGGUCAUCAUUUGUAUAUUUCCUCUUCGGAGGGUGAUCUCGUCGCCCACGGAGAAGCAAUCCAAGGAGAAGAGAGUAGGUUCUGCGCCCAACCUCAGCUCCAUAUCAAAGGAGGGGAAGUGGCUGCGAGCAUGCCAUCAGCGUUGGGUCGAUGGUGUUGUGCCUCGGCAGCUGGGAUCAUGCAAGGCAGAUGGGAAGCAGCAGUGCCGCCUCUCCCCCCGAGCUCCAGAUACAUGAUAGCAGCAUCGAGGAGGAGAAAAACUGCAUUCAGAGGUUACGGAAUGGCAAUGGGUGGGUUACCUCCCAGGAGCAGAUGACUGGCAUGGUUAGUGAUCACUAGGCCAUGAAUCUCAUGGAUCCCAUGAUACAGGUAUCUGGUCCAGAUCCGACGGAGACAAGCAAAAUCGUGCUGCUUCUUCUUCUUUCGAUUGAAAAUCCAGGUGAAAACUUUCAGGAACUCAGGACGACACGCAUUGAUUAUAUUUCAUUGUGAUGGCCGUUGCCGACACAGCUACUAUGGGUACAAGCAACUUCUAUUUCGCUCGUCACCGGAAACCACCGCCCAGAUCCAUCUCUUCUCAACCAUGCCGACGUGGUGGUCAGGGGCGCUUACAACUUGUGAGGGCCUGCAUUCUCGCUGUUGAUCCGUGAUGGCAUGGCCUCCCCGCGCCCUAGCCGCGUUCUAACUGAUGGUUUGGGUCUGCCAGCGGAGGGAGAGGGGACGACCUCUGUCGCUCCUUCUCUCUAGCCUCUUCAUCUUGAUGAAGCCGUAGGAGUAGAGGGGCACGCGCGUGAUGGAUCUGCUCCAAGCACCUCAAGCCACGCAUCUUCAAGGUGAUCACUUCAUCCACAUUCAAUCUCAGUUCCCGCGUUUACUCGAGGAGAGUUCAAAAGCAGCAAGAGCAGUUGUUCUAUUGCUGGUCGGAGGGAGAGCUUGGCAAGGGAGAUAGAGGGAGCUCUACAACCACGAUCUUGGCAUACAACCCGAUGGCAUCAUGCCCACGUAAGCUUCUUCCAUGUUCCAAUUCUUGCACUUGAUGGUCUUUUACUGUUAGAGCUUACGAAAUCUUAGAUGUUGCUGACAAAAGACCGAGAUACACUAUUUUGAUUGCAGACUAUAUAUUAUAUUAUUCAGCAAGUACGUUCGCAAAUUUUUUUGGUCUCAGCAGGUUGGUGUUCAUGUACAGGUUGCCAUAUGAGAACAUACUGUGUAUUCGUCAAAUCUCAGAACAAAUGGCCCAUUCCGAUCAUAACUAUUCCAAAAGCAUUGAUAGGCUUUUUAAAAAAUCAAGAUAUCUGAAUAUUGAUCUCAGCAGUGUCCAAAAUCCAAAUGGUUAUGUUUGUUCAGAUUUUCCUCAUUUUUAUGUUCUUUGAAAUAAAGUAGUGCUUGAGGUUAAUAAUAAAUGAUUGUUGGUAACUUAACUAGCUCCUGAGAAUAAUUUGUGAUAUAGCUUGCUCCUAUAUGUUUCAUGACAACGUUGCUUGUGGAGAGUAAUAAGGAUUUAUCUAGCUCAUGUAUGUCUGAGCCUGAGGCGGAGAGGACAACGGUUGUGGCUCCAUUGAUGAUAGUGGUUGCGACGCAGAGCCGUAUGAAUGGACAGCAGGCAAGCCAAGCACUCCCUGGAAUCGCCGUGAUUCCGGAAUGGGUGGCGGGUCCCUGCCCCUACCACCCAUGAAGCUGACAACGAUCACGUGGCCUCGUGCGGGGGCUGCGGAGGAGAGGGAGGCAGGCAGGGGGAGACUUGUAAGCGAGAACCCGCACGGAGGAGGAAGGAGACGCCUCAGGUGGAGAUGAUGACGGUGGCCGUGCCUCCAUCGCUGGCGGCGGUCAUGACGUGCAGCUGCAGGACUAGACAUCAGACAGGCGGAGUCGUUUCUGGGAGUUGCUUGCUUUGGUGGUGCUCUUGGGUUUACGAUUUCAAUAUAAUCCUAUGGCGGAGUGGAAGGUUAAUGUUAUUUCUCUGAUAUCACAAUGUAUCUUCUUGGCUCAAGUAUUGAGAAAGUAGCAUUGUCGCAGAUGUAUUUACUUAGUUUGAUAAGAUGGUGAAAAUAUCUGUAAUUCAGACAUGACAGAGAGUCAAAUUUAAAAGUAGCUUUUAUAGUCAUAGCUAGCUUACUUUGGUUUACUUGGUCCAUGUAGAGCUGGAAUCUCGGAGCUACACUUUCAACCGGCUUGCUUUGAAAAUCAAGUAAAAUUAAAAGAAUAGAGGUUUCAAUUGUAGCAAUAGUAUAGUAGUGCUACAGAUCUGUGGAGCGGGCAAGAAUUAUUGGUCAACCUUAUAGCUUCUUAUAGCUUCUAUUUGUCAUCUAGAUGUUGUACAUCAGGUACAGAUCUGUUUAAGAAGGAUUGUUGUACAUCAGGAAUUAAAGUUUACGGAAUGCGAGAAAAAUAAAUGCAUAACUGGAUCUGUGAUUCGGUGAUUUUUUGAAUGUGAAGGUGCAUUCUUACAAAUUUUCUGCUCAUGUUAGUUUAGCCCCUGGCUGCAUUAUACAGACAACAUAUUUAGAUACUUUUGAUUAUAAAGAUCUCUGACAUGAUCAUAUUGUUAUUUUCAGCUUUUGGAUUUGCAUAUAAUGCUGACACCACAUGGACUCUGAAGGAAGUUGUGCUAACUGCUAAGCUUUCCCUGCUUUUCCAGCUUGUGUGUUUCAUUGAUGGAGGAGGUAUAAAUCUGUUCCUUAAAGCGAGCAAAUCAAAACAAAAACGCAGGAGGUAUCCGACAACACUGACGACCGCUACGCCAUUCCACUUAGACCUGAGGGCAACAUCAAAGGAUGCCACCGGCAGCAGAGAUCAACAAGUUCUUCACCGUCGGGGAGAAGGUGGAGGUCGAAUGUUUCACCGUCAAGUGCAGACUUAUCGUUCAGCUACAGUCACUUGAUCAUCGUCACAGACACCGCCACACUAAGAAUUGUGCAGCUGCUCUACUUUCAGGUACAAAAUUGGACAUCAUGUGAGGUGUUAUGCUCAACCCCAGCCAGUUCAAAGGCAACACUGGUGGUGGUCCUCUGAGUAUGCAAAUGACAUAAGAGUGGGCACUGCAAUAAUACAUGCUAAUAGGUGCAGUUUCAUCUCGAGCAGAGGAGCACUGCAAUAGUACAUGCUACUCUCAGCGACUACUAACCUGAAGUUGCACUCAGGCUCUCGCAUAUACUAAAGAGUGCGGCUUUUGGACAUCCUUAGCACGAUAAGCCCAAACACGAAGAUUAGACGCCACCUUGGAUUUGUCUGGUUGUUAGCUUGUGGUCAUUAAACACAUAUAUAUUGUGCUCUGUCCAUAUGCUCUAGAGCAAACAAGCAAUGAUAGUGGACUGCAGUUUCUGGGGUAUCACGCCCAUUUAAACUGAUGGUGCAAGUUCAGCAGUGUCAUCAAUGGAACAAAUAAAGUCUUGAUAACUAGAAGGCCAUUCCGAUUCCAGUAUGGUAAAUAUUCGAUGGGUGACAAAGGGUCCCGAGGGAGCUCGUUUGUGUUGACAACACUCAGCAUAUUCUGCAAAUAUCCUCUGAGUUCACCAUCCAUGAGCUGCAAGUCAUGUUUUCUGGUGCUACAAGUAUAAAAAGGUUCAUAUUUGUUUUAUUAACCUUUUGUGGUGUUGUUCCAAUACCUUUUGGAGUUUUGGCCUAAAAGGGCUCUCUGAAACACUGAGACAAACAAAGCUAAAAUUUGGAGUAUGAUUAAGCAGUCCAGUCAGCGUUACUAAUCCCCACUUGAGCUUGACUGUAUUUCCUGGCUUAAUGUUUGAGAUUCUAUGUAUAGCAAAAAUAUGUGCAGAAUUUCAUUUAAGUUUGAAAGCCAAUCGAUUCCAUA